GACGAACGCUGGCGGCGUGCUUAACACAUGCAAGUCGAACGAUGAAGUUCCUUCGGGAAUGGAUUAGUGGCGAAAGGGUGAGGAACACGUGAGAAACCUGCCUUUCAUUUUGGGAUAACUCCGGGAAACCGGGGCUAAAACCGAAUACUCCGUCUCGGCGGCAUCGCUGAGCCGGGAAAAAAUUUUGAUGAAAGAUGGUCUCGCGGCCUAUCAGCUAGUUGGUGAGGUAAUGGCUCACCAAGGCAACGACGGGUAGCCGGCCUGAGAGGGCGACCGGCCACGCUGGGACUGUGACACGGCCCGGACUCCUACGGGAGGCAGCAGUGGGAAAUAUUGGGCAAUGGGCGCAAGCCUGACCCAGCGACGCCGCGUGAGGGAUGAAGGCCUUCGGGUUGUAAACCUCUUUCAGUAGGGAAGAAGCGAAAGUGACGGUACCUAAAGAAGAAGCACCGGCUAACUAUGUGCCAGCAGCCGCGGUAA
This 480-nucleotide ribosomal RNA is filed under the name uncultured bacterium. Its description in RNAcentral is "partial 16S ribosomal RNA". It matches the Rfam family "Bacterial small subunit ribosomal RNA", at positions 28 to 523 of the family's 1533-position model. The record is from RNAcentral.